UCCUACGGGAGGCAGCAGUGGGGAAUUUUCCGCAAUGGGCGAAAGCCUGACGGAGCAAUACAGCGUGAGGGAAGACUGCCUAUGGGUUGUAAACCUCUUUUUUCAGGGAGGAAUAAAAUGACGUGUACCUGAAGAAUAAGCAUCGGCUAACUCCGUGCCAGCAGCCGCGGUAAGACGGAGGAUGCAAGUGUUAUCCGGAAUCACUGGGCGUAAAGCGUCUGUAGGUGGUUUAAUAAGUCAACUGUUAAAUCUUGAGGCUCAACUUCAAAAUCGCAGUCGAAACUAUUAGACUAGAGUAUAGUAGAGGUAAAGAGAAUUUCCAGUGGAGCGGUGAAAUGCGUAGAUAUUGGAAAGAACACCGAUGGCGAAAGCACUUUACUGGGCUAUUACUAACACUCAGAGACGAAAGCUAGGGUAGCAAACGGGAUCAGAUACCCCAGUAGUCCUAGCCGUAAACUAUGGAUACUAGAUGUUGAACAGAUCGACCUGUGCAGUAUCAAAGCUAACGCGUUAAGUAUCCCGCCUGGGAAGUAUGCUCGCAAGAGUGAAACUCAAAUGAAUUGACGG
RNAcentral lists this ribosomal RNA (567 nucleotides) under uncultured bacterium. RNAcentral's name for it is "bacterial SSU rRNA". It matches the Rfam family "Bacterial small subunit ribosomal RNA", at positions 337 to 916 of the family's 1533-position model. The record is from RNAcentral.